This 178-nucleotide ribosomal RNA is filed under the name Tomentella sp. RNAcentral's name for it is "partial small subunit ribosomal RNA". It matches the Rfam family "Eukaryotic small subunit ribosomal RNA", at positions 1347 to 1544 of the family's 1831-position model. The record is from RNAcentral. Lineage: Eukaryota; Fungi; Basidiomycota; Agaricomycetes; Thelephorales; Thelephoraceae.
CCUGCUAAAUAGCCAGGCCGGCUUUUGCUGGUCGCCGGCUUCUUAGAGGGACUGCGGUUGCGUCUAGCCCGCGGAAGUUUGAGGCAAUAACAGGUCUGUGAUGCCCUUAGAUGUUCUGGGCCGCACGCGCGCUACACUGACAGAGCCAGCGAGUUUUUCACCUUGGCCGGAAGGUCUG